AGGGGCAACUCUCGAGUAGAGUGGCGGACGGGUGAGUAAUACGUAGGAAUCUGCCCUAGAGUGGGGGAUAACCUGUCGAAAGACGGGCUAAUACCGCAUAAUCUCUAAGGAGCAAAGGUGUCUUGUAGCAAUACAAGAUUUCGCUUUAGGAUGAGCCUACGUCGGAUUAGCUAGUUGGUAGAGUAAUAGCCUACCAAGGCGACGAUCCGUAGCUGGUCUGAGAGGAUGAUCAGCCACACUGGAACUGAGACACGGUCCAGACUCC
This 265-nucleotide ribosomal RNA is filed under the name uncultured bacterium. RNAcentral describes it as "partial 16S ribosomal RNA". It matches the Rfam family "Bacterial small subunit ribosomal RNA", at positions 75 to 339 of the family's 1533-position model. The record is from RNAcentral.